GUGCCCACAGAGCCAGGUAAUUCAUCCAUGGACUUAUUGUAUAGCAUAUGUACUCGUUCUAUCUCUUGGUUUUCCUCUACCCUUGUCAUAUGAUGUUAUCAUAGUUGUCCUUCAAAACUGAACCACAUAGUAUUGUCAUCUAUCUAUUUUUAUUUCUUUCAGCUGAAACCUUCUGCUACUACAAAAACAUGAUUUUUAUAAUAAGAUAAGAUAUCAACUCUCAAUACUUGUACAGAAUCCCUGACCCUUUUUCUCCCUUAGGCCAAGUAAGAAAAAAUCCAAGGAAUAGAAGAAAGAAAUUUCUGUAUGCAAAGACAUCUUUAUUAAAAAGAAGACAUAUUUGUUCUCUUCCAAACUGAAACUUGAAGAAACAACUCGGGUAGGUUGAAGUUUGAAGUGGUGGAAAGGCUUUUGUAGUGUGGUGAUUGAGCAAUAAUAAGGUUGCUAUUAUUGUGAUAAUGGAGUUAACACAUGGGAUACUUCAUUUCUCGGUGGCAUGUCAUCAGUGCCUCUAAAUAUAUGAGAUUUCUGUCCUAUCUCUUUAGGUAGGUUGGGGUGAGUCAUAAUCCUUUUCUCUUUAUAGUAGAAACGUUUUUUUUGCCUUUACUACACAGUAGGC
RNAcentral lists this long non-coding RNA (619 nucleotides) under Lupinus angustifolius (narrow-leaved blue lupine). RNAcentral describes it as "long non-coding RNA (LANG_LNC002056)". Lineage: Eukaryota; Viridiplantae; Streptophyta; Magnoliopsida; Fabales; Fabaceae. The record is from RNAcentral.